Molecule: long non-coding RNA, 329 nt
Organism: Megalobrama amblycephala (Wuchang bream)
Lineage: Eukaryota; Metazoa; Chordata; Actinopteri; Cypriniformes; Xenocyprididae
Exons: 2
Source: RefSeq, a predicted model, not a curated record
CACUAGAGUUUCUCCUGUGUUUGAUUGUGUGGCGCUCAACUCUAACUGUCCUGUGUGUAACACUUUGACAGCUGAAAGAGUAGCAGCUAUGGAGAACAGCCCGACAGAAAGCAAGAAGAAUAGCCUUUGUGCAUUCUUAAGAAAAUUGCUGACUUUUAAAAGUGACAAUCAGUGUCAACGUCGAAGCAACCGAGUGGCUCCUCUUCAGCCUGGUCCAUCCGGCCUCCAGCCAACGGCUCAACAGGAUCAAACUGAUUGUCAGCCGGGUCCAUCCAGUGUCAAGCCAACGAGCUGUGAUGCAAAUCCAGAUGAUCCUGUGGCAGCUGAAG